RNAcentral lists this ribosomal RNA (488 nucleotides) under uncultured bacterium. Its description in RNAcentral is "partial 16S ribosomal RNA". It matches the Rfam family "Bacterial small subunit ribosomal RNA", at positions 28 to 507 of the family's 1533-position model. The record is from RNAcentral.
GAUGAACGCUAGCGGCAGGCCUAAUACAUGCAAGUCGGACGGGAUCCAUUGAUAGCUUGCUCUCAAUGGUGAGAGUGGCGCACGGGUGCGUAACGCGUGAGCAACCUGCCUCCAUCAGGGGGAUAGCCUCUCGAAAGAGAGAUUAACACCGCAUAAUAUCAACAGUUCGCAUGUUCAGUUGAUUAAAUAUUUAUAGGAUGGAGAUGGGCUCGCGUGACAUUAGCUAGUUGGUAGGGUAACGGCUUACCAAGGCGACGAUGCCUAGGGGCUCUGAGAGGAGAAUCCCCCACACUGGUACUGAGACACGGACCAGACUCCUACGGGAGGCAGCAGUAAGGAAUAUUGGUCAAUGGGCGGAAGCCUGAACCAGCCAUGCCGCGUGCAGGAUGACUGCCCUAUGGGUUGUAAACUGCUUUUGUCCAGGAAUAAACCUAAAUACGAGUAUUUAGCUGAAUGUACUGGAAGAAUAAGGAUCGGCUAACUCCGUG